RNAcentral lists this ribosomal RNA (251 nucleotides) under Clostridium botulinum. Its description in RNAcentral is "partial 23S ribosomal RNA". It matches the Rfam family "Bacterial large subunit ribosomal RNA", at positions 2035 to 2284 of the family's 2925-position model. The record is from RNAcentral. Lineage: Bacteria; Bacillati; Bacillota; Clostridia; Eubacteriales; Clostridiaceae.
GGCGAAAUUGUAGUGCAAGUGAAGAUGCUUGCUACCCGCGAUUGGACGGAAAGACCCCGUAGAGCUUUACUGUAGCUUAGCAUUGAAUCUCGGUAUUGUCUGUACAGGAUAGGUGGGAGACUUGGAAGCUUGGGCGUCAGCCUGAGUGGAGUCAUCCUUGGGAUACCACCCUGACAGUACUGGGGUUCUAACCGGCGGCCAUGAAUCUGGUCACGGGACAUUGUUAGGUGGGCAGUUUGACUGGGGCGGUC